Molecule: long non-coding RNA, 1205 nt
Organism: Zingiber officinale
Lineage: Eukaryota; Viridiplantae; Streptophyta; Magnoliopsida; Zingiberales; Zingiberaceae
Exons: 2
Source: RefSeq, a predicted model, not a curated record
CCUCUCCCGAUUCCCCUCUUCCCCAUGCCUCCUUCUCCGUCGCCCCUCUCUUCUUCUCUGAUCUCGUGCCGCUCUCUCCUUGUACUAUUGAAGCGACCAUUGCUUGACUUGCCAACGAUGCCACUAUCGCGUGUCCUACUCGCGAGGGUUCCGGUCUGGUGCUCGACUCCUGCUUGUGGGUAGUCGAAGAAGCCGCCACCCUCUUCCUCACGCGCCUCUACCCUAGAUUGUCCGAUCGUCAAUCCACCAUCGCCAGCACCUAAGCGCCACCCGACGGCUCCCUAUGAUUCCAUCACUAUCACCCCAUUCCUCUUCACCACCUCGUGUUGCUCGUCGAAUCCCUAAUGGCUAUCGAAUAUGGUGGAUCUAGAAGAUGGUGAUGCCGGGGUUGACAUCGAGCACCUGCGGGAGGAAUGCCUCAUUGUUCCUAAUUCCCUUCCAUCGCCGGCGUGCUAUCUCAGCACGACCCCUUGAUCGAUCUCCGAUAAUUCCACUUCAACCCUUCCAUGGCACUGCCCAUGGAACAACACCAGCCAUAGUGUCGGCCUCUGGUUUCGUUUUCCCCUCAGAUGCAGUAACAAGCAUCUACCAGCCCGAGAUUUGGCUCCACAAUCAGUUGCUGCUGAUGAGGUAUGCACAUUUUAGAUCGGUAACUUGCAGUAUUGAAUGGAUGAGAGCUACAUCUACAGUUGCCUUGUGCAAAUUGGAUAGGUAACUUCUGUAUAAUUAAUCCAUAAUAGCAGUAUGAAGGUUGUGGUUUUAUUGAGUUUGUAACUUGUGUGGUUACAAAUCGAGUUCUUCAUGCUAUAAUGGUUAAGAGAUGCUAAAGUCAGAACAAGUUUUCAGAUUGAAUGGGCCGACAUGGCAAGCAGAGUUUUGAUUUGAAGAUAUUCAGCGUGACUUACAAUAAAGGUAACAAGUAAAUGUUGGAGGAGUUUCUUGGCUGCCAGCCCCAUGUCACAUCCGAGAUCUGUUUUCUAGUUAUUUCACACUGUUCUAUUCUUACUUUAUUUUUCGGACUUGGUGUGUAGUGAUUCAACUUGCUUUUGGAUUUUAGCCUUGUGGCCCCAUUUAUUCGUUUUGGGUUUAUAUUAUGGUGUAAGUCAUGCCGGCAUGCAGUCAAUGUUUUAUCUUGCGUAGUUUGUGUUUGUACCAGCCGUGUAGGCUGUGUAACUUUAUUAUUUUCUACUGUAUUCUCUGUUUCA